Molecule: long non-coding RNA, 4810 nt
Organism: Symphalangus syndactylus (siamang)
Lineage: Eukaryota; Metazoa; Chordata; Mammalia; Primates; Hylobatidae
Source: RefSeq, a predicted model, not a curated record
UUAGGGUGUAGGGAUCCAGGCCAGAGAGCUUGGGCUAAGCACUGGUUCCGAUGAGCUGGAGAAGAGCCUGGGAAAGUUUCUGGCCGGGGGACUGGAUAGGGGCCUGCUUGGGAACUGCCCCCUGAAAAACCCCGCUGGCCCUUGAUUUCGAGACAAGCAGGUGUUCUGAGAACUUCCUCCUCCCGCGGCCGCCCCUCCUCCAGGCCCUCUAUUUAUAGCGCUUCCUCUCUUGAGCUCCGCGAGAAAAGUACCCUUGAAACACACAGAAGAGAAAAAUUCUGAAAAAUGUCAAACCACGGGUCCUUUCCCCUCUCUUCUGUUAAGAUCUAGGUUUGUACUAUUCCUGGUUGACCCCAAAGGAGACAAGGUCAAAUGGGGCAUCCUUGGGUUAUCACAGUGGCGUUCAGAAGGUGCUGGCUGAGUCCUGGCUCCUCUCUGCAGCCUGUCUGGGACUAACUCAAGGGGCAGGGAACAGGAGACCCUUUUCCACCAAGAAAAGAUGGGGCCACGAAGGUCUAGCCUGAUCUAGCACGUGAGUUUGGAGAGAUCAACAGCAAAGAUGGUGAGACGGGAGUUGGAAAAUAUCAGACUCUGAGUUGGAAGCCUGAUGCCAUGUUCUAGUUCAAGCUUUGUUUGGGAUAUCACUUCUGUCUCUGAGUAUAUUUCCCUCUCUGUAAACCAAAAGAGUUGGACUAAACCCGUGUUUUACAAACUUUUAAAACACAGAGCACACACAACGGAAACAGAAGUCUUACGAAACAGUAUUUGUCCUUAUUCCGAUGCAUUUUCUUUUCUGUUCUGUUUCCUUUUCUCUUCUAUCUCAUUUUUCAAAAAUUCUGAUCAUGGCCCACUAAAAUGAUCUUGAAACCCACUAUAAAUUGUUAAAGUAGUAAAUUUUAUGUAUAUUUGAUCACAAUUAAAACAAUUUUUUUUUCUUGAGACAGGGUCCUGCUCUGCCACCCAGGCUGGAGGGCAGUGGCAGUCAUGGCUCACUGCAGCCUCUGUCUCCCAGGCUCAAGCAAUCUCCCAGCCUCAGCCUCCCGAGUAGCUAGGAUUACAGGCAUGCACCACCACACCCAGCCAAUUUUUAAAUUAUUUGUAGAGAUGGGGUCUCACUAUGUUGCCCAGCUGGUCUCAAACUCCUGAGCUCAAGGGAUCCUCCUGCUUUGGCCUCCCAAAGUGCUGGGAUUACAGGCAGGAGCCACCUUGCCUGGCACAAAACAGUGUUGUUUUUUUUUUUUUUUUUAAACCAACUAAUUGUGGAUUUUAAGCCAAUGGUUGAAAAAUACUGGACUACACAUAUUUAAGUUCUCCUCCAAUUAUUUUUAAAAAUCUAAUUGUUCAAUCACAGAGGAAAAGUGCCUCUUUGACAAAACAUUGAUAAUUUUAAAUUAUAUUUUCAGUUUUUUAAAAAAUCAAGUUUUAAAAUGUUUUCUUUUAAAAAAAUCAACCGAGGACAGUUUCAACUGAAGCUAAACCGAAAUACCCCGUGGCCCAGCAUCCCCCAGUCUGGGUACAUCCUAUAGAAAAUGAGUAUGCAAGUUCACCAAAUGACGUGUACAGAAAUGUUCACAGCAGCACCGUUGUAAUAGCCCUGCAUGAAACACAACUCAGAUGUUUAUCAAAAGGAGAAUAACUGGAAUCCCAACACUUCAGGAGGCUGAAGCCGGUGGAUUGCCUGAGCUCAGAAGUUUGAGACCUGCCUGGCCAACAUGGCGUAACCCUGUCUCUACCAAAAAUUACAAAAUUAGCCAGGCAUAGUGGCAUGCACCUGUGGUCCCAGCUACUUGAGGGGCUGAGGCGAGAGAAUCACUUGAGCCUUCGAGGUCAAGGCUGCAGUGAGCCAUGUUUAUGCCACUGUGCUCCAGCCUGGGUGAUGGAGCGAGAGCCUGUCCCAAAAAAAAAAAGAGCAUGAAUGUAUAAGUGUUGGUACAGCCAAACAAAUGAAUAGUAUAUAACAACGAGAGUGAAUGAACUACAACUGUUAGCAAUGUAGAUGAGUUCCACCUGUUGGGCUCAGCGCCUGAUACCCCAAAACAUAGCACCUUGGCAACUGAUAAAACAAAGAAACAAGAUGAUCACAAGACCCUUCCCGCACCCUUCUAUGUGACAGCUGGCGAUAAAGGAAUCCUCUGACCUACUUCACCAGAAAACAGAUCAUAAGAUCCUCCUUCCAGGACCAGGCAUGGUGGCUCACGCCUCUGAUCCUGUAAGCACUUUGGGAGGCCAAGGCAGGAGGACUUGAGGUCAGGAGUUAGAAACCAGCUUGGCCAACAUGGUGAAAACCCAUCUCUACUAAAAAUACAAAAAUUAGCCGGGCAUGGUGGUGCACACCUGUCAUCCCAGCUACUCAGGAGGCUGAGGCAGGAGAAUCGCUUGAGCCCAGAGGUUGCAGUGAGCUGAGAUUGUGCCACUGCACUCCAGCCUGGGCAACAGAGUGAGACUCCAUCUCAAAAAGAAAAAAAAAGGAAAUUGAAGAAACCUAAAGAAACAGAGAGACCUGUGAUUUUUCUGUGCUUAGGUUAGAUGAAGAGUGGAUGGUUUUGGAGAAAUAAGAUUGGAGGACGAAAAGGGUCUGAUUGAAUGGGGAAACCCUGGGGGACUUAGCAAGUCCUGUUUGCUCAGGCUCCUCGCUGUGACCCUGGUGCCUUCAGAGGGGUGUAAAGGGAGGAAGAGUGCCGAGUGUCGAGUCUUGUGCCAUGAACAGAUUCCAUUUCUGCAGAGGAGAACGUGCAGGGGACACCCUUCGAGGCUUUGGAGCCACCUAGGAAGGAGGCUGGCUGCUGCACAGGCCUCCGCUGGCUUCCUUGCACAUGUCCUUGGUGGGUGAGAGACGAGACAGAGAUGUCUAUACCUGGGUUGACAUGAGGCACAAUCUACAGCAGGAUCCCUAUCAGCCAGCCGCAGAUUGUUCAGGAGGGGACAGCUAUGUCCUGAAUCAAGGGAGGUUUAAGGGCUCAUGGACCUGGUGCCCUUCAAGUCAGCAUCUGACUGCAGAAGUCAGCCAUUUACAACCUGGAUCUUGGUGCUGGCUGCAUGAGCUGCAAUGGUCCUUGGGUGAGCUGUGCACCCUCUGUACACUUUGGUGCCUAUGUGUGCACCACCUAGACCAUCACGUGGCCCCAGUCUGCUGUGCACAGAGCACUGCGUAGACCCACUCCCACUCUUCUGUUUGUCACAGUGUGGAAAUUAAGGCUUAAAGGAUGAUCAGAAUGCAGCUGAGAGAAAUGGAGGUGGGUAAAAAGAAGGGAAGGCUAAGUUACUUAGCAGACUGGGAAAAAUGCAUUUGAAAUAGGAAAAUAUGUACACGUUUUCAACAAACAACCCAAUAGAAAAAGGGGCAUACUAUUUGUACGGGCAUACAGAAAGAUUACUGCAUGGCCAAUAAACAUGUGACAAGGUGCCCAGCAUCAGUAGUGAUCAGGGAUCUACCUGUUAAAACCACAACCCACCAAAACAGCUAACCUGAAAAAGAUGACAACACCAAGUGGUGGUGAGGAAGAGGAGCCAGGGGAGCACCCCCACACUGCUGGAACGAUUAAGAACAGCUACUUUGACCAACUGUUUGCCAGGACCUACUAAAAGUAGAAACACACAGAGCCUGUGACCCAGCAAUUCCACUCCUGGCUGUAUGCUCAGCAACAUGUAGGUGUGUUUCACCAAACACACAAAGAACACGAAGAGCGGGACUGUGUGUAAUUAUCCCGAAUGGCAGCAACUGCACCACGCAGCAACAGUAGAACGGAUAAAUAAAUGGUGGUGCACUGUACUCUUCUAGUUACCAUGGCUGUGUAAAGCAUAUCUUUUUCAGGAAGCUUUUUGUUGAAGUGUAACAUACUGUUCUUGUUACUGUGGCUGUGUAACAAAUUACCCCAAAACAGCAACUGGAAACAUAGUUUUAUCAUGUUUGUGAAUUCUGUGUGUCAGGAUAUUGAAGAGGACACAGUAGGAAUGGUUUUUCUCUGCUCCCUGAUCUUGGAGGUCUCUGCUGAAAAGGAUCAACAGCUGGGGGUUAAUCCAGGAGACGGUCAUACCAGAGGGCAUUUGAGAACGAAACAGAAGCAGAAAAGAGGCCCGAGAUCGCGAGAUCUGGCAAGAAGAGGUAGAACCGGGUGGGAAGAGAGAGCACAGCCGAGAUGCCCGUCUACUUGCCGUACUGGCCAUGGUUGGAGGCGGGUGUUCUUUUUAGGAAUGGCCGCGAUGGGUUGGAUUUACAGAGAGAGAGAAGUCUCAGUUCCGAAGGCUGAGUUCUGAAUAUGGAUUGGUUAUUUGCAUUGAAAUGUGAUCCCCAAGGUUGGGUCAUCAGGGCGGCUCUGUCAUGAACGGUUUGGUGCCCUGUCCAUGGUGUUGAGUCACUUCUUAUUCAGAUAGGCAAGAUCUGGUUGUUUAAAGAGCCUGGCACCUCCUUCCUCUCUCUCUCAUUCCCACUCUCGCCGUGUGACCGCCUGCUCCCACUUCACUUUCCACCAGGAGUCAAAGCUCCCUGAGGCCUCCCCAGAAGCCAAGCAGAUGCAGGCGCCGUGCUUGCACAGCCUGCAGAACCUGAGCCAGUUAAACUCUUCCUUAUAAAUUACCCAGCCUCAGACAUUUCUUUAUAGGAAAACAGACUAACCCAGGGCAAUGGGAGAAGGCACCUUGCCAAGGAUCUGCACCCACACACACCCACACCUCACUUUCCUCAUCUGUAAAAGGAAAGUAUCAUAUCUGCACAAGGGAGUAUGGUAUUUGCCACGUGGAAUGUUUGUGGGGAUUCCAUGGAGCAACAUGUGUGUCAAUUACUUAACACUAAAGAACUCAUUUAAAAUGGAAA